GCCGUAAAAGCUAAGCUAAUUACACAUGAAAUGCUUCUCAAAUGAAAUGGAAAUGACUCCACAUGGAGCACAUGGGCACAUGGCCGGCCAUGUGAAGCAAAUGUUCUAGAAAGUGCACAAAAUCUAGGGUAAAUCAUGUGUAAGACAAGUUUAUGCUUUCUAACACUACACUAAUUACUAAGGCACCCCUAAUGGGCCUCCAUGUAACAUAUACAAGGCCUUCUCAUCCCAAACCGUAGCUUGACCCUUGUGAACGUGAAUGUGCUUGGUCCUAGACGGCCUAGGCUUCCUCCUAGACGCUCCUUAUGUAGCCGCUCCUCAUCAUGGGCUAGACGCUCUCCUUUUGAAGUCUAGACGCUCCUCAUCAUGGGCUAAACGCUCCUCACAUGGUUCUAGACUGUCUAGACUUGGAGCUUGGCUUUUCAUAGUGUGGUGCGCUUGGCCCUCCUCCAUCAUCCCCUCCCACUUGAAAAGGAUUUGUCCUCAAAUCCAAUGCUUUUACUUCUUAGGGGGAUGGUUGUGGCUGGAUGGUGUCCAUCAUCUCCUUCUUGAGAAGAUCUAUCCUCUGAUUCGCAGACUUGAUCUCGGAUAGCAGCCUCUUGCUUCAUCAAGGUGUGUCCUCCCGGAUCAAAUGUCAAACUAUGAGAAUCUUGAAACAAAGCAAACGAGAU
RNAcentral lists this long non-coding RNA (671 nucleotides) under Phaseolus vulgaris (common bean). Its description in RNAcentral is "long non-coding RNA (PVUL_LNC004901)". The record is from RNAcentral. Lineage: Eukaryota; Viridiplantae; Streptophyta; Magnoliopsida; Fabales; Fabaceae.